AAUUGUUCGCAAUGGGCGCAAGCCUGACGACGCAACGCCGCGUGGAGGAUGAAGAUCUUCGGGUCGUAAACUCCUUUCGAUCGAGACGAACGGCCCUUGGGAUAACACCCUGAGGGAGUGACGGUACCGUAAGAAUAAGCACCGGCUAACUACGUGCCAGCAGCCGCGGUAAUACGGAGGGUGCAAGCGUUAAUCGGAAUUACUGGGCGUAAAGCGUGCGCAGGCGGUUUGUUAAGUCCGUUGUGAAAUCCCCGAGCUCAACUUGGGAAUUGCAAUGGAUACUGGCAAGCUGGAGUAUGGUAGAGGAAGGUGGAAUUCCCGGUGUAGCAGUGAAAUGCGUAGAGAUCGGGAGGAACACCAGUGGCGAAGGCGGCCUUCUGGACCAAUACUGACGCUCAUGCACGAAAGCGUGGGGAGCAAAC
RNAcentral lists this ribosomal RNA (422 nucleotides) under uncultured bacterium. Its description in RNAcentral is "bacterial SSU rRNA". It matches the Rfam family "Bacterial small subunit ribosomal RNA", at positions 360 to 773 of the family's 1533-position model. The record is from RNAcentral.